RNAcentral lists this non-coding RNA (91 nucleotides) under chicken gut metagenome. Its description in RNAcentral is "THF riboswitch". It matches the Rfam family "THF (Tetrahydrofolate) riboswitch aptamer". From Rfam's summary of the family: THF riboswitch presents a pseudoknot that joins P1-P2 and the loop of P3 and two THF binding. The record is from RNAcentral.
GCAGAGUAGAUAAGCAGCGUUAAGUGUCGCAAAAUGGGAUGUUGUUUGCGAACGAAGGCGUAACCGCCGCGGUUGCUUGUCGCGUCCGUUG